Molecule: ribosomal RNA, 1167 nt
Filed under: uncultured organism
Description: bacterial SSU rRNA
Rfam family: Bacterial small subunit ribosomal RNA
Source: RNAcentral
AUGAACGCUAGCGGCAGGCCUAAUACAUGCAAGUCGCGGGGUAAGGCUCUUUCGGGAGCACACGACCGGCGCACGGGUGCGUAACGCGUAUGCAACCUACCUAUAACAAGGGGAUAGCCGCGGGGNAAACCCGUGAUUAAUACCCUAUAAAGCAGGGGUACUGCAUGGUACUAUUUGCUAAAGUUGAGGCGGUUAUAGAUGGGCAUGCGUUAGAUUAGCUAGUUGGUAGGGUAACGGCUUACCAAGGCGACGAUCUAUAGGGGUUCUGAGAGGAAGGUCCCCCACACUGGCACUGAGAUACGGGCCAGACUCCUACGGGAGGCAGCAGUAAGGAAUAUUGGUCAAUGGGCGAGAGCCUGAACCAGCCAUGCCGCGUGCAGGAAGACGGCCUUCUGGGUUGUAAACUGCUUUUAUACGGGAAGAAAAAGGUCUUGCGAGGCUACUUGCCGGUACCGUAUGAAUAAGCACCGGCUAACUCCGUGCCAGCAGCCGCGGUAAUACGGAGGGUGCAAGCGUUGUCCGGAUUUAUUGGGUUUAAAGGGUGUGUAGGCGGUAGUUUAAGUCAGUGGUGAAAGUCUUGAGCUUAACUGAAGAAGUGCCAUUGAAACUGGAUUACUAGAGUAUAGUCGAGGUAGGCGGAAUUUAUGGUGUAGCGGUGAAAUGCAUAGAUACCAUAAAGAACACCGAUAGCGAAGGCAGCUUACUAGGCUAUAACUGACGCUGAGGCACGAAAGCAUGGGUAUCGAACAGGAUUAGAUACCCUGGUAGUCCAUGCUGUAAACGAUGCUCACUAGCUGUUGGCGAUAUAAGUUCAGCGGCUUAGCGAAAGCGAUAAGUGAGCCACCUGGGGAGUACGUCCGCCAGGAUGAAAAUCAAAAGGAAUUGACGGGGGUCCGAACAAACGGUGGAGCAUGUGGUUUAAUUCGAUGAUACGCGAGGAACCUUACACUGGGCUAGAAUGCGAGCGCUAUCAUGAGAGAUCAGGAGUUCUUCGGACAUGAAGCAAGGUGAUGCAUGGCUGUCGUCAGCUCGUGCAGUGAGGUGUUGGGUUAAGUCCCGCAACAGAGCGCAACCACCUAUUGUUAGUUGCCAGCACGUAGUGGUGGGGACUCUAACGAGACUGCCUGCGCAAGCAGAGAGGAAGGAGGGGACGACGUCAAGUCAUCA